CCUGUAGUACAAUGGAUGGUGCAUUGGACUUCUAAUCCAAAUGUUGUGGGUUCGAAUCCCGCUGGGUGGU
Non-coding RNA from Trichonephila clavipes, 70 nucleotides. NCBI's taxonomy places the organism in Eukaryota, Metazoa, Arthropoda, Arachnida, Araneae, Nephilidae. The record is from the annotation of a GenBank genome assembly.